Hemibagrus wyckioides is the source of this 778-nucleotide long non-coding RNA. RefSeq lists it as uncharacterized. NCBI's taxonomy places the organism in Eukaryota, Metazoa, Chordata, Actinopteri, Siluriformes, Bagridae. The transcript has 4 exons. The record is from RefSeq and is a predicted model, not a curated record.
CCAUUUGGUGCUGUAGACAAAUAGGUUAUGGGAAACUUCUCGACCCCUCCUCUCUGUCUCCCCCCAUCUCGCGCUGUCUCAGUCUCUCACACACUCUCGCGCUGUCUCUAGCGCGCGUGGACUACCGGAGCAGGGAAGCACGCGUAAUGAGCUAAGUAUUAGCGGCAAUUUUGAACCACAUGCGCACAGGGUGGACUCAUUAGUGAAACGGCGUUUUGCGCACCGAGAUCGGAUAAGGAAUGUUUGGAAAGACAUUCGGAGAGAAAAAGCCAGGAAAUAUGACCAUAACUGACCACUGGAAGAGAGUGAAGCGAAAUGGAGCUGUCUGCUUUAUCCUGCAAUAAAAUCCAGCAUAAGGUGAGAAGAGAUGGGAGAUGGGGUCACAGAAGAGAUGGAUUGCGCACUGUGCCGAGACUAAAGGUGGGAAGCAUCAAUGGAUGACGACUUCAAUCCCUUUAUAGAUAUGACCUGGAUCCCAGAGACAGAUCUUCAGCUUUGUCUUGAUGGAUGGAUUGUCUUCUUGGAGAAUUUUCUGGAUUAUGUGUACACGUAUGUGGAGUGAAAACCAUAUACCAUAGCAGAUGGAACUGGAAUAAAUCCACUAUGGCAUCUGGAUUGACACAAGAUCCAUGACUUGAAUGUUGUAUACAAGUGAAAUCACUAUGCAUUGUAUGAUUUUACUGCCUACUCCUUGUACAAAUAUUUUGGAUCAAAAAUGACUUGAAUAUGUUUGCACUAUGAAGUUUAUUUAUACAAUAAAUUGUUUCUUUUUCUAGAA